Molecule: ribosomal RNA, 308 nt
Filed under: uncultured bacterium
Lineage: Bacteria
Description: bacterial SSU rRNA
Rfam family: Bacterial small subunit ribosomal RNA
Source: RNAcentral
GACGAACGCUGGCGGCGUGCUUAACACAUGCAAGUCGAGCGGUAAGGCCCUUUCGGGGGUACACGAGCGGCGAACGGGUGAGUAACACGUGGGUGACCUGCCCUCAGCUCUGGGAUAAGCCUGGGAAACCGGGUCUAAUACUGGAUAUGACUCCAUGACGCAUGUUGUGGGGUGGAAAGCCUUGUGCGGCUGAGGAUGGGCCCGCGGCCUAUCAGCUUGUUGGUGGGGUGAGGCCUACCAAGGCGACGACGGGUAGCCGGCCUGAGAGGGCGACCGGCCACACUGGGACUGAGACACGGCCCAGACUC